This 446-nucleotide ribosomal RNA is filed under the name uncultured bacterium. RNAcentral's name for it is "partial 16S ribosomal RNA". It matches the Rfam family "Bacterial small subunit ribosomal RNA", at positions 338 to 795 of the family's 1533-position model. The record is from RNAcentral.
CCUACGGGUGGCAGCAGUCGAGAAUCAUUCACAAUGGGGGAAACCCUGAUGGUGCGACGCCGCGUGGGGGAAUGAAGGUCUUCGGAUUGUAAACCCCUGUCAUGUGGGAGCAAAUUAAAAAGAUAGUACCACAAGAGGAAGAGACGGCUAACUCUGUGCCAGCAGCUGCGGUAAUACAGAGGUCUCAAGCGUUGUUCGGAAUCACUGGGCGUAAAGCGUGCGUAGGCUGUUUCGUAAGUCGUGUGUGAAAGGCGCGGGCUCAACCCGCGGACGGCACAUGAUGCUGCGAGACUAGAGUAGUGGAGGGGGAACCGGAAUUCUCGGUGUAGCAGUGAAAUGCGUAGAUAUCGAGAGGAACACUCGUGGCGAAGGCGGGUUCCUGGACAUUAACUGACGCUGAGGCACGAAGGCCAGGGGAGCGAAAGGGAUUAGAUACCCUAGUAGUC